UGAACGCUGGCGGCGUGCCUAAUACAUGCAAGUCGAGCGAACGGACGAGAAGCUUGCUUCUCUGAUGUUAGCGGCGGACGGGUGAGUAACACGUGGAUAACCUACCUAUAAGACUGGGAUAACUUCGGGAAACCGGAGCUAAUACCGGAUGAUAUUUUGAACCGCAUGGUUCAAAAGUGAAAGACGGUCUUGCUGUCACUUAUAGAUGGAUCCGCGCUGCAUUAGCUAGUUGGUAAGGUAACGGCUUACCAAGGCAACGAUGCAUAGCCGACCUGAGGGGGGGGACGGCCAAAGUGGAACUGAGACACGGUCCAGCCUCCGACGGGGGGCAGCAGUGGGGAAUCUUCCGAAAUGGGCGAAAGCCUGACGGAGCAACGCCGCGUGAGUGAUGAAGUUCUUCGGAUCGUAAAACCUUUUUAUUGGGGAAAAACAUUUGUGUAAGUAACGGUGCACAUUUUAGCGGUACCUAAACAGAAAGCCACGGCAAACUACGU
This 494-nucleotide ribosomal RNA is filed under the name uncultured bacterium. RNAcentral's name for it is "partial 16S ribosomal RNA". It matches the Rfam family "Bacterial small subunit ribosomal RNA", at positions 30 to 506 of the family's 1533-position model. The record is from RNAcentral.